GAUGAACGCUAGCGACAGGCCUAACACAUGCAAGUCGAGGGGCAGCACAUGAGUAGCAAUACGAUGGUGGCGACCGGCGCACGGGUGAGUAACACGUAUGCAACCUGCCUGUAAGAGGGGAAUAACCCGGAGAAAUUCGGACUAAUACCGCAUAAUACCACGAGACUGCAUGGUUUUGUGGUUAAACAUUUAUGGCUUACAGAUGGGCAUGCGUAUGAUUAGAUAGUUGGUAGGGUAACGGCCUACCAAGUCUACGAUCAUUAGGGGUUCUGAGAGGAAGGUCCCCCACACUGGUACUGAGACACGGACCAGACUCCUACGGGAGGCAGCAGUGAGGAAUAUUGGUCAAUGGGCGAGAGCCUGAACCAGCCAAGUCGCGUGAAGGAAGACGGUUCUAUGGAUUGUAAACUUCUUUUGUAAGGGAAUAAAGUUCACUACGUGUAGUGUUUUGUAUGUACUUUACGAAUAAGGAUCGGCUAACUCCGUG
This 487-nucleotide ribosomal RNA is filed under the name uncultured bacterium. RNAcentral's name for it is "bacterial SSU rRNA". It matches the Rfam family "Bacterial small subunit ribosomal RNA", at positions 28 to 507 of the family's 1533-position model. The record is from RNAcentral.